This 253-nucleotide ribosomal RNA is filed under the name uncultured bacterium. RNAcentral describes it as "partial 16S ribosomal RNA". It matches the Rfam family "Bacterial small subunit ribosomal RNA", at positions 524 to 776 of the family's 1533-position model. The record is from RNAcentral.
UACGUAGGGUGCAAGCGUUGUCCGGAAUUAUUGGGCGUAAAGAGCUCGUAGGCGGUUUGUUGCGUCGGCUGUGAAAUCCCGAGGCUCAACCUCGGGUCUGCAGUCGAUACGAGCAAACUAGAGUGUUGCAGGGGAGACUGGAAUUCCUGGUGUAGCGGUGAAAUGCGCAGAUAUCGGGAAGAACACCCGUGGCGAAGGCGGCUCUCUGGGACGGUACUGACGCUGAGACGCGAAAGCGUGGGGAGCGAACAGG